This is a long non-coding RNA of Passer domesticus (house sparrow), 3539 nucleotides long. RefSeq lists it as uncharacterized. The record is from RefSeq and is a predicted model, not a curated record. NCBI's taxonomy places the organism in Eukaryota, Metazoa, Chordata, Aves, Passeriformes, Passeridae. The transcript has 2 exons.
ACAGGAGAUGAGGCCAAGGGCAGAAACUGAUGUGCAGGAAGCUCCACUGAACAUAAGGAAGAAUUUCUGUACUGUGCAAGUGACCGUGCACUGGAACAGAGUGCACAGAGGAGCUGUGGAGUCUCCCUCACUGGAGAUAUUCCAGAACCAUCCCUCACUGGAGAUGUUCCAGAACCAUCUGAACACAGUUCUGUGCCGGGUGCUCUAGGGUGACCCUGACUGAGCAGGGAGGUUGGACCAGAUGACCCACUGGUCAUAUUCUAAUUUCAAUAACUCUACUACAUCAAUCACCUCUUUGAUUGUGAAAAGAGCACUGACCUCAUCUAGGUGUAUCGUGUGUGCCAUGAAACCAUCCCUCAGCGUGGCUGACUCACUUUUAAUGAAGUUGUGCACAAUUACUGCGGGGCAAAAAAAAUUGUAAAAGGGCGCUAUGCUUAAUCUGACACUUAUCCAGAUGCUGGGCAGAGGUAGGUAUGAAGAAAAGUUGUAUAAAUAAAUUAAAAUGCUAAUAAUAUUCCCCCAGUGACAAGUACUAGAGCUGAUUUCUGCAACAAAGCAGAAGUGGCAGCUCACCAAACACAGCUGGAAUGUGCUCCAUGGUUGCCUGCAGGAAAGGUGUGUGCUAUUUCACAGCAAAUAUUUACAACCCAUUAACAUGUGCAGUUUAAAAGACCAAGUGAAAAUUCCUCUGAGUUCUUUUAACUUUGUUCCCUAUUUUCAGAGUGUAAAAAAAAAAUAAAGUUAAUAUGUAGCUGCUCCUGCUAAUAUUGAUGAUUGUAGAAAACUGACUACUGGGGGUGGGAAGGGGAGGAAGCAAAGGAAGAUGCAUUUUUGCAUCUGAGAAACAUUCUUGCCAUAGUUCUGUGGGAAUUUGUGGCUGACUUCAGAGAUAAAAUUUAACCCCUUAUACUUGGCCUUAAAGAGUCAGUUGACAAGUUGGUACAAACCCGUGAUGCCUUGCCUCGUAUUCAUGUUUCCAGAAUAAAUUAAAAGUGUUGUAAAAGUUUCCACUUGUCCAAACUGUGAAAUAUUUUCCUUUAUCAUGUAGCAGAAAAGUAAAUCAAGUAUGUAAUUAUGAGCUCAAAAAUUCCAUCUUGAUAUUUUCUUGGAAAAAAACAAAGCAAACAAACCAUAAAACAAAACCAAACCCUGAACACACCAUUAAAUGUAAGUAUGACUUUUAAGGGCUAAAUUGUAUCCACUAAAUAUAAGCAUCUAUGGAUACUAAAAUAUUUACAAGCCUUCUAAUGGAUUACUUAUCUGGUUUUAGCAGAGCAAUAAUAAUCUAUAAGUGCCUGGUUUGGGGAAACCCCCGAUUCCAUCCAGGCUGUGGGAUGAGCAGAUUGAGAGCAGCCUGCCCAGGAGGAUUUGGGGGUGCUGGUGGAUGAGAGGCUGGACAUGACUCAGAAACAGGUCAGCUCACAGCCCAAAAAUCCAAAUGUGCCUGGGCUGCAUCCAAAGCCCCUGGGCAGCAGGGCAGGGAGGGGAUUCUGUCCCUCUACUCUGCUCUGGUGAGACCCCAACUGGAAUAUUGCAUCCAGCUCUGGGGUGCCCAGAGGAAGAAAGACCUCUUGUAGUGAGUCCAAAGGAGGCCACCAAGAUGAUCAGAGGGAUGGAGCACCUCUCCUACAAGGAAAAGCUGGGAGAAUUGGAAUUGUUCAUCCUGGAGAAGUCUUUGGGGUGACCUUAUUGUGGCCUUCCAAUGCCUGAGGGGAGCCUGCAAGAAAGAUGGAGAAGGAAUUUUUACAAGGUCCUGUGGGGACAGGACAGGACAGGACAUGCAAACUAAAAGAAAGUAGGUUUAGAUUAGAUAUUGGGGGAAAAUUCUUUACAGUGAGGGUGGUGAGGCACUGGCACUGGCUGCCCAGAGAAGCUGUGGAUGCCCCAUCCCUGGCAGUGUUCAAGGCCAGGCUGGAUGGAGCUCUGAGCCACCUGGACUAGGGGAAGAUGUCCCUGCCCAUGGCAAGAGAGUUGGAACUAGAUGAUCUUAAAGGUCUCUUCCAACCUGAACUUUCCUAUAAUUCUAUGAUUUUAUAUUUUCUUCACUGAACAAAUAAUAAUGAGCAUAAAAGCCAUGUUGGAUUAACUCAAAGAGCUCUUUAGCCAUAGUGUAUAAACACAUGGAACUAGGCAUCUGCUUAGGAAGGGAUCUCUACAGAAAUGCUGUCCUAUGUAGAGACUGAAGGAGAAAACAACCUUUCAACUGGAUUUUAUGUUUAACAACAAUAUAGCAAAUGCAUGUAAGUAAAUAAGCAAAUGUGACAAUGAUGCCAAAAACUGAAAAGAAAAAGCAGCUUUUUUUUCAAGUUCUGUUUCUCUUGUCUACUCUUUAGAAAAUGCAUAUGUAUUUACUGCAAAAAAAAAAAAAAAAAAAUCCAGUUUUGGCUGCUAAUAGCAUUUCUUCUUAGCUCUAUGAUAGUAUACUAGUCAGGCAUCUCUAAGAUGAGAAAAAAUACAGAUGUGGGAAAGUGCCACUAGAGGGUUUGGAAAGAACUUUUCAUACCUCAAAUCUAGGGAUCAAACUGAAGUUUAACUGCUGUAUGACAAUACAAGGUAGAAUAGCACCCUUGGAAUAACAAGACUAAAAUUUUUUCAUGCAUAAACGUAUCCACCAUGUAAUAAAAUAAACUACAGUGUGUCACCAAUGCAGUGGAGAAAAUGAAUACAGCAGUGGUCUGACUGCUUUUAUAAAAUGUGUGUUAGACUCAAGUGAAUGCAGGCAAUAAAAUGACACAUAUCUAUUGUGUAAAGCCAGCACAAAAGGAUGCCCUAGAUUUUCUUUCCAAAAAAAGUGUUGUAAACAAGGGGUUCUGUAGCCCUGAGAAUUUUAUUACAAUUUUAGCAUCUACAGGUUUUUCUCUUGUCUGGCUUGGUACAUAUAUCUCCUUCUUCACCUGCACUGUUAUCUGAAAAACAGGAAGAUAAAAUAGCACAGCUUUUUAUAUUCUGUAGUAAUAAACUUUCGUUGUUUGUUUUUAUCUUCCAAUGUUCCUCUAAGCCUGUGAAGCAUUAUUGCAUCUUUCUUCACCUCUGUGGAAUGACACAUGACAGUAUUAUACCAAAAAGUUACUGGGAGUAUUACCCCUCAGAGGGACAAAUGGCAACUUUCCACCAGGCUUAAAAAUCAAGACUCUUCUAUUAUUAGGAAAAAAAAGCCACCUUUUAAUUUUUUUAAAUUUUUUUUAAAGAAAGGAACUUGUUAGCAUCUAGGCUUUGUAGGGUCCCCCCCACCACCCUUUUAAACCACUUUUUGCUGAAGUAUUUUGAAGAUUAGAAGAAAAUUUAAAUAUUUCUAUCAACAGACAUGCAUAAAUGAUCUGCAAAGUGUCAAAAUGCUUUUGUUAGUCCUCAAGGUUCACAAAUAGAAACAGCAAAAAUGUGGAUUACUGCAGUAAAGUUUGUUUCUUUAGUUUUGAACUUGUAAGAAUACAAUGAGGGGAAAAAAAGGGAGACCAUAAUUAUUGUGAAAACUUGUUAAGAAACACAUCUUAGUGGAAAGUAUUUCUGUCUUCAGGAACAAUAAAUAUUUGAGGAUCUUG